GUGAGGAAUAUUGGUCAAUGGACGAGAGUCUGAACCAGCCAAGUCGCGUGAAGGAAGACGGUUCUAUGAAUUGUAAACUUCUUUUGUGCAGGAAUAAAGUGGGUUACGUGUAACCUUUUGUAUGUACUGUACGAAUAAGGAUCGGCUAACUCCGUGCCAGCAGCCGCGGUAAUACGGCGGAUCCGAGCGUUAUCCGGAUUUAUUGGGUUUAAAGGGAGCGUAGGUGGAUUGAUAAGUCAGCGGUGAAAGUUUGCAGCUUAACUGUAAAAUUGCAGUUGAAACUGUCGGUCUUGAGUGCAAAUGAGGUAGGCGGAAUGUGUUGUGUAGCGGUGAAAUGCUUAGAUAUAACACAGAACUCCGAUUGCGAAGGCAGCUUACUGGGAUGCAACUGACACUGAUGCACGAAAGCGUGGGUAUCAAACAGGAUUAGAUACCCUUGUAGUCC
Molecule: ribosomal RNA, 445 nt
Filed under: uncultured bacterium
Lineage: Bacteria
Description: partial 16S ribosomal RNA
Rfam family: Bacterial small subunit ribosomal RNA
Source: RNAcentral